CACUGAGAAUCUGGAUAACUCCUUUAAAGCAGGUAAAUGGCUUUAGAGAUCUUAGAAGUGCUGUCUCUGGCUGACUCCUGUUAGGUUAGUUUAAGUUGACCUUGAUGGGGAAAGGUUAGUGUGCUGCUACCAGUUCUUCAGGUUGACCACUGCUCUGAAGUCCCUCCUGUCCUGUUUCACCAAACCAAAAGAAACCAGCAGGCAAACUGACUCUUGCAUGUGAGUUAAAUUAAUUUCUUGAGAGAAACCUUCAUAAAGGGCUAAAUAAACAAGAUCUGCAUAUACAGAAAGUUCUGCACUUGAGACACAGCUAAACUCGUCUGUCUGGAAAUCUGAAGACUUUUAUAGCAAACCCUCCAGUGUCAAAAUGAACACAGGGUCUGAUUCCCAGUCUCCAGAUUCAGGUAAAUAAAACAGAGUGUUAUUUAUGCAUCAGUGUAAUGCCAUGUAAGUGGCUGUAUUAUAACAAUCUUUGAUUUAUUUGAUUUCAUUAUGCCAUACGUCCGCACUCUUUAAGGAA
Molecule: long non-coding RNA, 520 nt
Filed under: Calidris pugnax (ruff)
Lineage: Eukaryota; Metazoa; Chordata; Aves; Charadriiformes; Scolopacidae
Description: lncRNA (ENSCPUG00000015298.1)
Source: RNAcentral